GAUGAACGCUGGCGGCGUGCCUAACACAUGCAAGUCGUACGAGCUCGAUCUUCGGAACGGGUUAGUGGCGCACGGGUGAGUAACACGUAGGUGACCUACCCCAGAGUGGGGGAUAACUUCUCGAAAGAGAGGCUAAUACCGCAUACACUCGGUCAUUCAUUUGGCCGAGCAAAGCUCCGGCGCUUUGGGACGGGCCUGCGUCCGAUUAGCUAGUUGGUAGGGUAAUGGCUUACCAAGGCUUUGAUCGGUAGCUGGUCUGAGAGGACGAUCAGCCACACUGGCACUGACACACGGGCCAGACUCCUACGGGAGGCAG
This 316-nucleotide ribosomal RNA is filed under the name uncultured Chloroflexota bacterium. Its description in RNAcentral is "bacterial SSU rRNA". It matches the Rfam family "Bacterial small subunit ribosomal RNA", at positions 28 to 351 of the family's 1533-position model. The record is from RNAcentral. Lineage: Bacteria; Bacillati; Chloroflexota.